CAUAAAUGAAGGUUUGUCCUUCAUUUCUCGACAAAUAUCUUUAUAUAUCUAGAAUCUCCAAAGUGACACAUAUCUUUUGUGUGCUAAUCAGAUGACUGGUGGCUGGAGUUUCCUCCUUAGCCUCAGGAUGGGGGCUGUUUGCCAGGGGCACAAACCUUGCAAUUAGAAGGUUGGAGCUUACAGUACCUCCACCUAACCUAGGGGAGGGGAAAAGGGCUGAGGGUUGAAUUGAUAAACCAAUAGUUAAUGAUUUGAUCAAUCAGCUUACUUAAUGAGAUGUCCUUGAAAAAAAAAAAGAGGAAAGAACUGAGUUCUGAGGGCUUUCUGAUAGCUGAACAAUGGAGGUCCCAGAAGGUGAUAUUUCUAGAGAUGGCAUGGAAGCUCUAGGCCCCUUCUCCCAUAUCUUGCCUUAGGCAUCACUUCCCUCUGUUUAUCUGUUUCCUUUUUACUAUCCCUAAUAAUAAACCCAUAAAUGAAAGUAUGUUCCCCUAUCAUAGGCAAGUAGAUUGCCACACUGGCAAAUAGAUUGGACCCAAGGAGAGUACCAUGGGAACCCUGAUUUGCAACUAGUUGGUCAGAAAAACAGGCCAUAAUCUAUGCUUAU
Molecule: long non-coding RNA, 604 nt
Filed under: Marmota monax (woodchuck)
Lineage: Eukaryota; Metazoa; Chordata; Mammalia; Rodentia; Sciuridae
Source: RNAcentral